Molecule: ribosomal RNA, 253 nt
Filed under: uncultured bacterium
Lineage: Bacteria
Description: partial 16S ribosomal RNA
Rfam family: Bacterial small subunit ribosomal RNA
Source: RNAcentral
UACAGAGGGUGCGAGCGUUAAUCGGAAUUACUGGGCGUAAAGCGCGCGUAGGCGGCUUUUCAAGUCGAUUGUGAAAUCCCCGGGCUUAACCUGGGAACUGCAGUCGAGACUGUCUAGCUAGAGUAUGGGAGAGGGAAGUGGAAUUUCAGGUGUAGCGGUGAAAUGCGUAGAUAUCGCUUGGAACGCCGAAGGUGAAAACAGGCUGCUGGGGUUGUGCCGACGCUGAGACACGAAAGCCAGGGGAGCAAACGGG